UACGUAGGGGGCGAGCGUUGUCCGGAGUACUGGGCGUAAAGCGCACGCAGGCGGUCUGCUAAGUUUGGAGUGACAGUUGGUGGCUUAACUGCCAAAGUGCUUCGAAAACUGACAGACUUGAGGGCUUCAGAGGGACACGGAAUUCCGGGUGGAGUGGUGAAAUGCGUAGAGAUCCGGAGGAACACCAAAGGCGAAGGCAGCUCGCUGGAACGUAACUGACGCUGAGACGCGAAAGCGUGGGGAGCAAACAGG
This 252-nucleotide ribosomal RNA is filed under the name uncultured bacterium. RNAcentral describes it as "partial 16S ribosomal RNA". It matches the Rfam family "Bacterial small subunit ribosomal RNA", at positions 524 to 776 of the family's 1533-position model. The record is from RNAcentral.